This 468-nucleotide ribosomal RNA is filed under the name uncultured bacterium. Its description in RNAcentral is "partial 16S ribosomal RNA". It matches the Rfam family "Bacterial small subunit ribosomal RNA", at positions 28 to 507 of the family's 1533-position model. The record is from RNAcentral.
GACGAACGCUGGCGGCGUGCUUAACACAUGCAAGUCGAACGGUGAUGCUCCAGCUUGCUGGAGUGGAUCAGUGGCGAACGGGUGAGUAACACGUGAGCAACCUGCCCCAGACUCUGGAAUAAGCGCUGGAAACGGCGUCUAAUACUGGAUACGAAACUGGCCCGCAUGGGCAUGGUUUGGAAAGUUUUUCGGUUUGGGAUGGGCUCGCGGCCUAUCAGCUUGUUGGUGAGGUAGUGGCUCACCAAGGCGACGACGGGUAGCCGGCCUGAGAGGGCGACCGGCCACACUGGGACUGAGACACGGCCCAGACUCCUACGGGAGGCAGCAGUGGGGAAUAUUGCACAAUGGGCGAAAGCCUGAUGCAGCGACGCCGCGUGAGGGAUGACGGCCUUCGGGUUGUAAACCUCUUUCAGCAGGGAAGAAGCGAAAGUGACGGUACCUGCAGAAGAAGCACCGGCUAACUACGUG